RNA transcript from Lolium rigidum, 3669 nucleotides. It is a transcript of the gene named nuclear pore complex protein NUP107, with no coding region annotated. The record is from RefSeq and is a predicted model, not a curated record. The transcript is spliced from 25 exons. Lineage: Eukaryota; Viridiplantae; Streptophyta; Magnoliopsida; Poales; Poaceae.
ACCGCGCCGCGCCCGCCCGCCCGCCCAUGGACGUGGACCAGUCGUCGUCCCCGCGGCGGCCGCCGUUGUCGACGACGGGCUACUUGGACCCGGAGUCCUCCCGCCUCCGGGAGGAGUACCGCCGCUACAGAAAGAGACUAUCUUCUUCAAAUGACUCCCCGCUGUUGGGGACCUCAGUCUCCAGAUUCUCAGAAGCAAGGGUGUUGCAUGAUGGUAGCAGCAUGCCUAGGCGGCCCAACGCUGGUCUACUCCUUGAGGAAAUCAAGCAGGAGGCGGCUGAUUAUUCUGACAUUGACGGUUUGGAUGGAUCAAAACUGUUUGGAUCAGCCAAAAGAAGGACAUCGCUGGAUGGCGGUUCUGCACCAGACGCAGGUUUCCUUUCUGGUAGAAAGCCGACGAGGUCGUCUAUGAAUCCAGUCAAGAUGGAGGGCGAUAUGCUACAAGAAGGAGAAACAACUUUUACAGUGUUUGCAUCCCUUCUUGAUUCUGCGAUACAAGGAUUGAUGCCCUUCCCAGAUGUGAUUUUACAGUUUGAGAGGACAUGCAGAAACGCUUCAGAGUCGAUAAGGUAUGCUGCCACAGGAAAGCUUCGGAUGGCAGAAGAUAAACUUAUGCAGCAAAAAGCACAACUGUUACUGGAUGAAGCUGCUUCUUGGUCACUUCUUUGGUAUCUCUAUGGGAAAGCAAAUGAGGAGCUUCCUGGAGAGCUAUUUGUGUCACCAACUACAUCCCAUCAGAAGGCUUGCCGGUACGUUGCAACAGAUCUCACAGCACAAUUGUGUCUUCGCAUUGUGCUUUGGCUUGAAGGACUUGCUUCGGAAGCUCUUGAUUUGGAGAAAAAGGUGAGAGGAUCUCAUGUUGGUUCAUAUCUACCAAGUUCUGGUGUUUGGCAUCGUACGCAGCGGUACUUAAAAAGAAAGAACAACGAUUCUAAUAUAGUGAAGCAUGUGGAUUUUGAUGCUCCAACUCGUGAAGGAGCCCAACUUCUUCCUGAUGACAAGAAGCAAGAUGAAUUGCUUUUAGAAGAUAUCUGGACUCUCUUGAGGGCUGGAAGAUUAGAAGAGGCAUGUGAAUUGUGCCGGUCUGCUGGACAGGCAUGGAGAGCUGCCACUCUUUGCCCCUUUGGUGGCGUAGAUAUGUUUCCUUCCCUGGAGGCCAUGCUCAGCAAUGGACAGGCUAGAACAUUACAAGCCAUUGAAUUGGAAAGUGGUAUUGGACGUCAGUGGCGUCUUUGGAAAUGGGCAUCUUAUUGUGCUUCAGAGAAAAUUGCUGAACACGAUGGUGGCCGGUAUGAGAUGGCUGUAUAUGCUAUACAGUGUAGUAACUUGAAGCGUACCUUGCCAAUCUGUACUGACUGGGAGUCAGCUUGUUGGGCAAUGGCAAAAUCUUGGCUGGAUGUUCAAGUGGAUCUGGAAUUAUCUCAAUACCAUACCAGCAGACCAGAAGAGAAACAGUAUGAUGAUGAUAUGAAUGGAACCCAACCUAUGCUCAGUUCAGUGGGCCCAGAAAAUUGGCCAUACCUUGUUCUUGAUCAGCAACCUCGUGAUAUAACUGCACUUUUGCAGAAACUCCACUCAAGUGACCUUGUGCAUGAAACUGUUUCUCGAGCAUGUCGGGAGCAGCAUCGACAAAUUGAGAUGAAUCUCAUGAGUGGAAAUGUAGCUCAUCUUCUUGACCUUCUAUGGUCAUGGAUAUCACCCUCUGAGGAGGAUCAAAACGUUUCGAGUCCACUUAGGUCCCGUGAUGAUCCUGAGAUGAUACGUUUUGGGGCACAUAUUGUUCUUGUCAUGAGAUACUUAUUCAGCGAGGAAAUGGAAGAUGAGUUGGAGGAGAAGCUGGUUACUGUUGGUGAUCUCAUUAUCAACAUGUAUGUGAGGUACUUAUUUUCAGAGCAGCAAGAAGAGUUAGUUGGAGUGUAUGCCUCUCAGCUUGAACGUGAUGUUUGCAUCGAUUUGUUUGUGGAAAUGAUGGAACUAAGGUUAAAUAGCAGCUUGCAUACCAUGUACAAGCUUUUCCUCUCUGCUGUGGAGUAUCUGCCGUUCUCGUCUGGAGAUGUGUCCAAGGCCUGUUUUGAAGAGAUAAUUGAGAGAGUUCUUUCAAGAUCUCGGGAAACGAAACCCAACAAGUACAAUGAAGAUUUUUCCGAUGUUGCGGAACGGCAUCAUUUGCAAGCACUUCACAAGGCAAUGGUCAUUCAGUGGCUUUGCUUUACCCCACCAUCCUCAAUUCCAGGCUUUCAGAUGAUCACAGGGAAGCUUCUGAUGCGGGCAUUGAUGCAUAGCAACACACUAUUUAGAGAGUUUUCCCUGAUAUCAAUGAGGAGAGGCUCUGAACUACCAAUAGGACCACAUAAAUUGCUUGCCAUCCUUGCUGAACCAUUGAAACAAAAGGAGAACUUUUCGCUGGAAGAUCAAGAGAUAUCUGAUAACUUACAAGAGUUUGAAGAUUGGCACGAAUAUUACUCCCUGGAUGCCACUUACCGGGGUUGGCUUAGAUGUGAGAUGGAGAAUUCUUCUGUUCCUCCUGACAUGCUUUCAGCAGAAGAAAAGGAUCAAGCUGUUGCUGCAGCGACACAAACACUGGAGCUGGCUUUCUUGUUAUUACUCAGGGAGGAAAGACCAUGGCUAAAUGCUGUCGAGAUUAGUCCAUUUGAGUCGUCAGAGCUUGUUUUCCUUGAGUUGCAUGCAACUGCAAUACUCUGUCUACCGUCUGGAGAAUGCAUGCCACCAGAUGCAACGUCAUGCACGGCUCUUACAAGCGCACUUUAUUCAACUGUUAGCGAAGAGGAGGUGCUGCAUCGCCAGCUCAAGGUUGAUGUCAAGGUCUCAUCUAAAGAUCCUUGUUGUAUUGAAGUCGCGCUUCGCUGCUUAGCAACAGAAGGUGAUGGGUUUGGACUUCAUGAAGCCAAUGAUGGAGGUCUUCUUGCUGCAAUAAUGGCCGCUGGGUUUAAAGGCGAACUCAAUCGGUUUCAGCCUGGAGUUUCGAUGGAAAUUUCACGACUUGAUGCUUGGUAUUCUGAUGGUCAUGGUUCGGUUGAAAGUACUGCUGCUUAUAUCAUCCGAGGGCUCUGUCGGAGGUGCUGUCUACCAGAAACUAUUCUACGAUCCAUGCAGGCAUCUAUCUCCCUUUCUGAAGCAGGCGAUUCUCUAGAUCAUUGUGAUAAACUCAUUGAGUUGGUUGCUUCAUCAGAUUCCGGAAUGAUCCAUUUGUUCAGCCAGCAGCAGAUACAGGAGUUUCUGAUCUUUGAGAGGGAGUGCUUCAUAUGUAAAAUGGAGCUUGAGGAAGAGCAGAUACCUACUGAUGGCUAAUUCAUCUGAGUUUACAUUAUCAGGUGUGACACCUGAAAUCUUAUUCACCAGUUCCUAGUGGAAUGGAAUCAGACAUGUUCUACUUGCUGACUGAAUGAGAAGCCAGGAUUUGAUAGUCUCAACAUGGCAUACUCUCUGUUGUGUGGCCAAGAACUAGCUGUAAUGUAUUACGACCCUGUGGAAAAAAGGGUAGAUGAAAUUUUCUGUAUAGGAGUUAUCUCUGACUGCAAGUCUGUUACUCUCAGCUGAUAACAGCAGCAGAUGAGAAUGUACUCACUUCAGUUCGUCUUUAUCGUAAAAUGAUCUACUGUAUAAGGGCGUGCCCGUCCAAAAUGAGCUCCAGGCCAAAUUUUGCACUUCC